Molecule: ribosomal RNA, 407 nt
Filed under: uncultured bacterium
Lineage: Bacteria
Description: partial 16S ribosomal RNA
Rfam family: Bacterial small subunit ribosomal RNA
Source: RNAcentral
GACGAACGCUGGCGGCGUGCCUAAUACAUGCAAGUAGGACGCAGUUGCGAACGGGUGAGUAACGCGUAGGUAACUGCCUAUUAGAGGGGGAUAACUAUUGGAAACGAUAGCUAAUACCGCAUACUAGUAGAUGGACCUGCGUUGUAUUAGCUAGUAGGUAGGGUAAUGGCCUACCUAGGCGACGAUAGAUAGCCGACCUGAGAGGAUGAUCGGCCAACCGGGGACUGAGACAAGGCCCAGACUCCGACGGGAGGCAGCAGUAGGGAAUCUUCGGCAAUGGGGGGAAGGCUGACCGCGCAACGCCGCGUGAGUGAGGAAGGUUUUCGGAUCGUAAAGCUCUGUUGUUAAGGAAGCGGUACUUAAACAGAAAGGGACGGCUAACUACGUGCCAGCAGCCGCGGUAAUAC